GCCCUGCUGGCCUAAUGGUUAAGGCGUGAGACUUCGUGCGUUUCCCAGCGGCCGCCCAUCCGUAGCCUAAUGCUAACCUAUAAAAAAUCAUAGUAAUCUCAAGAUUGCGAGUUCGAGUCUCGCGUGGGGUU
Molecule: non-coding RNA, 131 nt
Organism: Xylariaceae sp. FL1272
Lineage: Eukaryota; Fungi; Ascomycota; Sordariomycetes; Xylariales; Xylariaceae
Source: the annotation of a GenBank genome assembly